UACCCAGUUUCGGGAACCUUGGUACAGGCAGGCCGGGGAUUCCCUCUUUACACCGCGACUCCAGCCAAGGCUGGAACACCGCACAACUGUUUUGGGGACCUUGGUACAGGCAGGCCGGGACUCCCCUUCUUUACACCGAAACACCUGGCCGCAAGCCAAGUGUUCCACCCCGCUUGGGGGGCUCCGGUACAGGCAGGCCGGGGUCCCCUCUUUUAUUGCUCGCGC
This 225-nucleotide non-coding RNA is filed under the name Pseudomonas rhizosphaerae. RNAcentral describes it as "Nitrogen regulated small RNA". It matches the Rfam family "Nitrogen regulated small RNA". From Rfam's summary of the family: Its transcription is induced during nitrogen limitation by the NtrB/C two-component system (an important regulator of nitrogen assimilation and swarming motility) together with the alternative sigma factor RpoN (a global regulator involved in nitrogen metabolism). Lineage: Bacteria; Pseudomonadati; Pseudomonadota; Gammaproteobacteria; Pseudomonadales; Pseudomonadaceae. The record is from Rfam by way of RNAcentral.